Molecule: ribosomal RNA, 468 nt
Filed under: uncultured bacterium
Lineage: Bacteria
Description: partial 16S ribosomal RNA
Rfam family: Bacterial small subunit ribosomal RNA
Source: RNAcentral
GACGAACGCUGGCGGCGUGCUUAACACAUGCAAGUCGAACGGAAAGGCCCUGCUUUUGUGGGGUGCUCGAGUGGCGAACGGGUGAGUAACACGUGAGUAACCUGCCCUUGACUUUGGGAUAACUUCAGGAAACUGGGACUAAUACCGGAUAGGAGCUCCUGCUGCAUGGUGGGGGUUGGAAAGUUUCGGCGGUUGGGGAUGGACUCGCGGCUUAUCAGCUUGUUGGUGGGGUAGUGGCUUACCAAGGCUUUGACGGGUAGCCGGCCUGAGAGGGUGACCGGCCACAUUGGGACUGAGAUACGGCCCAGACUCCUACGGGAGGCAGCAGUGGGGAAUAUUGCACAAUGGGCGGAAGCCUGAUGCAGCAACGCCGCGUGCGGGAUGACGGCCUUCGGGUUGUAAACCGCUUUCGCCUGUGACGAAGCGUGAGUGACGGUAAUGGGUAAAGAAGCACGGGCUAACUACGUG